This 67-nucleotide transfer RNA is filed under the name Apodemus agrarius (Eurasian field mouse). RNAcentral describes it as "tRNA-Phe". It matches the Rfam family "tRNA". Rfam says of the family: Transfer RNA (tRNA) molecules are approximately 80 nucleotides in length. The record is from RNAcentral. Lineage: Eukaryota; Metazoa; Chordata; Mammalia; Rodentia; Muridae.
GUUAAUGUAGCUUAAAACAAAGCAAAGCACUGAAAAUGCUUAGAUGGAUUUUUNAAUCCCAUAAACA